AGCUUUGUGCAGUGGCAGUAUCGUAGCCAAUGAGGUUUAUCCGAGGCGCGAUUAUUGCUAAUUGAAAAGAUAUAACUGGAAGCAGCACUCUAUGGAUGGCCUUACACCUGAAAGAAAACCCCAGGAAUGGG
Molecule: small nuclear RNA, 131 nt
Filed under: Tupaia belangeri (northern tree shrew)
Lineage: Eukaryota; Metazoa; Chordata; Mammalia; Scandentia; Tupaiidae
Description: U4 spliceosomal RNA (ENSTBEG00000018519.1)
Rfam family: U4 spliceosomal RNA
About the family: U4 small nuclear RNA (U4 snRNA) is a component of the major U2-dependent spliceosome.
Source: RNAcentral